UUUAAUAUUUAAUUAAGUUAUGUAAGAUGGUAAUCAAGUGUCAAAGGUCCCGUUUUUUAAGCUGUAAACUAAAAAUAAAAAUAAAAAAUGUAACAUCAACGUUAUUUCACCCAGACAAUCACUCUUU
Long non-coding RNA from Sander lucioperca (pikeperch), 127 nucleotides. RefSeq lists it as uncharacterized. NCBI's taxonomy places the organism in Eukaryota, Metazoa, Chordata, Actinopteri, Perciformes, Percidae. The record is from RefSeq and is a predicted model, not a curated record. The transcript has 2 exons.